UGGGAGUCUCAGACAACAGAGAGAACAC
RNAcentral lists this non-coding RNA (28 nucleotides) under Mus musculus (house mouse). The record is from RNAcentral. Lineage: Eukaryota; Metazoa; Chordata; Mammalia; Rodentia; Muridae.